This 2102-nucleotide unclassified non-coding RNA is filed under the name Leishmania donovani. RNAcentral's name for it is "gene:LdHU3.21.1420(CDS-product:Programmed_cell_de ath_protein_2_C-inal_putative_domain_containing_protein_put ative)". The record is from RNAcentral. Lineage: Eukaryota; Euglenozoa; Kinetoplastea; Trypanosomatida; Trypanosomatidae.
CACCGUCUGCGUGCACGCACAUCAACGUCCCCGUGACCCGUGCCUCUCUUCACCUCUGGCGUCGGCUGUGUGCGCACUGAAGAGGAGCAGGAAGGAAGAGAACGACUGAAAGGCACAGAGACCGAGCUUUCAACGACUGAGGAACACUCCGGUGGCUUUCAUCAUCGCCGCUCAUCCCCCACCCAUCUUGCAUCUGCAAUGGUGGCUGCACUAGCUGCCUUGGGAUCACGCACCUCUACGAUCGUACCGCACACACGCACGCGCGCACUCACGGGCACCUGUGCCCACGAUGAGCGCCACUCCGUCGAAUGUUCUGCUGGGCCUCUUCGACGGCUACAUGUCCCACAAACGCGAUCGACUCACCUCUGAAACCAAAUUAGGUGGCACACCGACGUAUUUUCCGCCAUUAAGUGACGCGGACAAGGCGCAGAUACGUCGCUGGACGAGCUGCGGUGUCUGUGGCCAUGCUAUGAGCCUCCUUACCCAGGCGUACAGCCCGCUGCCCACAGCAUCGGCGAGCCGUCCGCACCACCGCAUGAUGUACGUGUUUGCCUGUAACUCUGGCUACUGCUCUCGGCAGCCGACGAGCAGCAUGGUGGCCUUUAGCGUGCAGGUGGAUCAGGAGGAUGAACAGGCGCUCGCCGAGAACUCCGAGGAAGAGGAAAAAGACGAGGUGAUUGAGACCGGUCCACUGCUGCCGUCGGAGCUGCCCGAGGCCGUACUGCCGCCAUGCUACGUCUACAUCGAUGCGGAGCCGUCAAAGGAGGUUGUGGUGCCGACGGAUAUCGAGCGUGAGCUUAUCAAGAUGGCGGAGGAGAACGCGCGGAGCACCGUCACAGAUGAAGAGCUGCAGCAGCUGGAGCAGACGGUAGACCUGAAGAACAAGAAAACGGACUACUACUACGAGAAGUUCCGCUCACGGGUUGCUCGAGCGCCGAAUCAAGUACUGCGCUACUACGAGCGCACCGUGGCAGCAGCAGCAGCCACAUCUGCGUCGUUGCGCGCGAAGGACGUCAAACCGAUCUUCAUGAACCCGGACAAGGUGAAAGCCAUGGUCACCAUCCCUGCAUGCGCCUGCUGCGGCUCUGCGCAGACAGCGGAGCUGCAGGUGAUGCCGACAUCCCUGUACUACCUGCACGUCAGCGAGUACACUGCACUCGCGCGUGCAGACGCAGCCGCCAUGGCGGCUCCUGCAGGGGCGCCGGCAGCAGCCAGCACACAAGGCAAUGCAGUCGACAAGCAGCCACCUGUCGCAUCGCACAGCGCAUCUACGACGGCGUGCAAGGCAUCUGCGUCGUCCGGGGCCGCCACUGGCACUGAAAAGGCGAUUCCUGCUAAUGUUGAUGACGGCUGCGACUUUGGAACCAUCACGGUGUACGUGUGCGCGAAGGACUGCGCGGCGCGGCAGCAUGGCGUGGUAUUGCGUCGCGAGACCCUGUGCGUGGAGGAAGCCCCCACCAUGCGAGACGAGGAGCGUGCAGGGAAGGCAGACGCUGCCAAGGCCGUUACCGACGGUGUCACACACAAGUUAACGCUAAGAGAGCUCCUGCACGGAAACGGGGAGGGCGACGAGGACAUGGAGGAUGAUGAUGAGGGCCACAUCGAUGAUGAGGCGGUGUCGACGGCGUAAGGCAUCGGGUGUGCAUGGGAAGACGAAGAGAAGGGCGUGCCAAGAGAGACCUGAGGUGUGGUGGAUGCUGCACCCCUGCCCUACUCGUCCCCCUCGUCCCUUUCCUUGCUGUAUACGAAUCACUGCACCACGCACGUUUCCGUCUGUCUGUGCGCACUCGCCUGCCCCCCUCUUCAGGCAGAAAAUUUCCGCACCAUUUCGUUUAAACACAAUACACACAUCACGGCUUUCUACGCCACCACCCGCGACUCCUGGAAAGGUAUGGCUCCAGUUGACCUCCGUCCCCCUGCAUCAGACACGGGCGAGACACGUCGCCGUCUUCUCCGAGUGCUCGAAGACCAGCUCCCCCCCCCAACACGCAUGCACACUGACAAGGGUGCCUAUCAACUCCCACGGGCUCCCUUUGCUAGUCUUCCUACCCGCUACUGCGGCAGCGCGUGACGGAGGCCAAAGCCAAAGGUCCGCCACCGCC